This is a non-coding RNA of Roridomyces roridus, 78 nucleotides long. The record is from the annotation of a GenBank genome assembly. NCBI's taxonomy places the organism in Eukaryota, Fungi, Basidiomycota, Agaricomycetes, Agaricales, Mycenaceae.
GGCGACGUGUUGUAGUGGUUAUCAUGCUGGUUCACCUUUGCAUGCCAGAGACCCCGGUUCGACUCAGGGCAUCUGCCC